This 251-nucleotide ribosomal RNA is filed under the name uncultured bacterium. RNAcentral describes it as "partial 16S ribosomal RNA". It matches the Rfam family "Bacterial small subunit ribosomal RNA", at positions 524 to 773 of the family's 1533-position model. The record is from RNAcentral.
UACGUAGGGUGCAAGCGUUAAUCGGAAUUACUGGGCGUAAAGCGUGCGCAGGCGGUUUUGUAAGUCUGUCGUGAAAUCCCCGGGCUCAACCUGGGAAUUGCGAUGGAGACUGCAAGGCUAGAAUCUGGCAGAGGGGGGUAGAAUUCCACGUGUAGCAGUGAAAUGCGUAGAGAUGUGGAGGAACACCGAUGGCGAAGGCAGCCCCCUGGGUCAAGAUUGACGCUCAUGCACGAAAGCGUGGGGGAGCAAAC